GACGAACGCUGGCGGCGUGCCUAAUACAUGCAAGUAGAACGCUGAAGAGAGGAGCUUGCUCUUCUUGGAUGAGUUGCGAACGGGUGAGUAACGCGUAGGUAACCUGCCUUGUAGCGGGGGAUAACUAUUGGAAACGAUAGCUAAUACCGCAUAACAAUGGAUGACACAUGUCAUUUAUUUGACAGGGGCAAUUGCUCCACUACAAGAUGGACCUGCGUUGUAUUAGCUAGUAGGUGAGGUAACGGCUCACCUAGGCGACGAUACAUAGCCGACCUGAGAGGGUGAUCGGCCACACUGGGACUGAGACACGGCCCAGACUCCUACGGGAGGCAGCAGUAGGGAAUCUUCGGCAAUGGGGGCAACCCUGACCGAGCAACGCCGCGUGAGUGAAGAAGGUUUUCGGAUCGUAAAGCUCUGUUGUAAGUCAAGAACGAGUGUGAGAGUGGAAAGUUCACACUGUGACGGUAGCUUACCAGAAAGGGACGGCUAACUACGUGCCAGCAGCCGCGGUAAUACGUAGGUCCCGAGCGUUGUCCGGAUUUAUUGGGCGUAAAGCGAGCGCAGGCGGUUUGAUAAGUCUGAAGUUAAGGCUGUGGCUCAACCAUAGUUCGCUUUGGAAACUGUCAAACUUGAGUGCAGAAGGGGAGAGUGGAAUUCCAUGUGUAGCGGUGAAAUGCGUAGAUAUAUGGAGGAACACCGGUGGCGAAAGCGGCUCUCUGGUCUGUAACUGACGCUGAGGCUCGAAAGCGUGGGGAGCGAACAGGAUUAGAUACCCUGGUAGUCCACGCCGUAAACGAUGAGUGCUAGGUGUUGGAUCCUUUCCGGGAUUCAGUGCCGCAGCUAACGCAUUAAGCACUCCGCCUGGGGAGUACGACCGCAAGGUUGAAACUCAAAGGAAUUGACGGGGGCCCGCACAAGCGGUGGAGCAUGUGGUUUAAUUCGAAGCAACGCGAAGAACCUUACCAGGUCUUGACAUCCCGAUGCUAUUUCUAGAGAUAGAAAGUUACUUCGGUACAUCGGUGACAGGUGGUGCAUGGUUGUCGUCAGCUCGUGUCGUGAGAUGUUGGGUUAAGUCCCGCAACGAGCGCAACCCCUAUUGUUAGUUGCCAUCAUUCAGUUGGGCACUCUAGCGAGACUGCCGGUAAUAAACCGGAGGAAGGUGGGGAUGACGUCAAAUCAUCAUGCCCCUUAUGACCUGGGCUACACACGUGCUACAAUGGUUGGUACAACGAGUUGCGAGUCGGUGACGGCAAGCUAAUCUCUUAAAGCCAAUCUCAGUUCGGAUUGUAGGCUGCAACUCGCCUACAUGAAGUCGGAAUCGCUAGUAAUCGCGGAUCAGCACGCCGCGGUGAAUACGUUCCCGGGCCU
RNAcentral lists this ribosomal RNA (1368 nucleotides) under uncultured bacterium. Its description in RNAcentral is "bacterial SSU rRNA". It matches the Rfam family "Bacterial small subunit ribosomal RNA", at positions 28 to 1381 of the family's 1533-position model. The record is from RNAcentral.